Molecule: ribosomal RNA, 800 nt
Filed under: uncultured Bacillota bacterium
Lineage: Bacteria; Bacillati; Bacillota
Description: bacterial SSU rRNA
Rfam family: Bacterial small subunit ribosomal RNA
Source: RNAcentral
AAAGUGGAGCAAUCCAUGAGUAAAGUGGCGACCGGGUGAGUAACACGUGACUAACCUACCUCCAAGUGGGGAAUAACUCCGGGAAACCGGGGCUAAUACCGCAUAACAUCGCAAGAUCAAAGCAGCAAUGCGCUGGGAGAGGGGGUCGCGGCUGAUUAGCUAGUUGGCGGGGUAACGGCCCACCAAGGCGAAGAUCGGUAUCCGGCCUGGGAGGGCGCACGGACACACUGGAACUGAAACACGGUCCAGACUCCUACGGGAGGCAGCAGUGGGGAAUUUUGCGCAAUGGGGGAAACCCUGACGCAGCAACGCCGCGUGGAGGAUGAAGCCCCUUGGGGCGUAAACUCCUUUCGACCAAGACGAUAAUGACGGUACUGGUGGAAGAAGCACCGGCUAACUCUGUGCCAGCAGCCGCGGUAAUACAGAGGGUGCGAGCGUUGUUCGGAAUUAUUGGGCGUAAAGGGCGCGUAGGCGGUGCCAUAAGUCACUUGUGAAAUCUCCGGGCUUAACUCGGAGCCUGCAGGCGAAACUGUGGUGCUGGAGUAUGGGAGAGGUGCGUGGAAUUCCCAGUGUAGCGGUGAAAUGCGUAGAUAUCGGGAGGAACACCUGUGGCGAAAGCGGCGCACUGGACCAUAACUGACGCUGAGGCGCGAAAGCUAGGGGAGCAAACAGGAUUAGAUACCCUGGUAGUCCUAGCCCUAAACGAUGAUUGCUUGGUGUAGCCGGUACCCAAUCCGGCUGUGCCGCAGCUAACGCGAUAAGCAAUCCGCCUGGGGAGUACGGUCGCAAGGCUGAAACUC